AGUGAACGCUGGCGGUAGGCCUAACACAUGCCAGUCGAACGGCAGCACAGUAAGAGCUUGCUCUUACGGGUGGCGAGUGGCGGACGGGUGAGGAAUACAUCGGAAUCUACUUUUUCGUGGGGGAUAACGUAGGGAAACUUACGCUAAUACCGCAUAAGACCUACGGGUGAAAGCAGGGGAUCUUCGGACCUUGCGCGAUUGAAUGAGCCGAUGUCGGAUUAGCUAGUUGGCGGGGUAAAGGCCCACCAAGGCGACGAUCCGUAGCUGGUCUGAGAGGAUGAUCAGCCACACUGGAACUGAGACACGGUCCAUACUCCUACUGGAUGCAGCAGUGGUGAAUAUUGGACAAUGGGCGCAAGCCUGAUCCAGCCAUACCGCGUGGGUGAAGAAGGCCUUCGGGUUGUAAAGCCCUUUUGUUGGGAAAGAAAAGCAGCAGGUUAAUACCCCGCUGUUCUGACGGUACCCAAAGAAUAAGCACCGGCUAACUUCGUG
RNAcentral lists this ribosomal RNA (492 nucleotides) under uncultured bacterium. RNAcentral describes it as "partial 16S ribosomal RNA". It matches the Rfam family "Bacterial small subunit ribosomal RNA", at positions 29 to 507 of the family's 1533-position model. The record is from RNAcentral.